CGUUUUUUGUAAUUAAUAAAAAAUAUAGCCUGCCCACUGAUAAAGAUUGAAUGGCCGCGGUAUUUUGACCGUGCGAAGGUAGCAUAAUCAUUAGUCUAUUAAUUGUAGACUGGUAUGAAUGGCUGGAUGAAUAACAACUGUUUUUAGGUUAAAAUAUGAAUUUUAGAUUUUUGUGAAGACGCUAAAAUGAGGCUAAAAGACGAGAAGACCCUAUUAAGCUUUACAUGCGUGUUUAAUUCUUUUAAACCAUUAAUGUUAUGUUGGGGCGACAGGAAUAUAGAGAAGCUUUUCCUUUUAUUUAAUGUAUAUAGGCAGAGGAAAUUAAAUGAUCCAUAAUUUAUGAUUAUAAGAACAAGUUACUAUAGGGAUAACAGCGUAAUUUUAUUGGAGAGUUCUUAUUGAUAAUAAAGAUUGCGACCUCGAUGUUGAAUUAGGAUACCUUUAGGGUGCAGAAGUUUUAAAAGGUAGUCUGUUCGACUAUUAAAUUCCUACA
RNAcentral lists this ribosomal RNA (493 nucleotides) under Paralamyctes validus. RNAcentral describes it as "partial 16S ribosomal RNA". It matches the Rfam family "Bacterial large subunit ribosomal RNA", at positions 1831 to 2600 of the family's 2925-position model. The record is from RNAcentral. Lineage: Eukaryota; Metazoa; Arthropoda; Chilopoda; Lithobiomorpha; Henicopidae.